Molecule: long non-coding RNA, 1468 nt
Organism: Homo sapiens (human)
Lineage: Eukaryota; Metazoa; Chordata; Mammalia; Primates; Hominidae
Exons: 8
Source: RefSeq, marked validated
AGAGUGCUAAGGAUUGAGGGAUUAAGAGGAGGUGAUUGUAUUAUUCCUCUUUUCAGAUAAUGGAGAGAGAGAAGAGAACAGCAGUAGCCGUUGCCAGAAAUAUUGAGCAAGGCGGAUUUAUUAGAUGAAGAUAUCAAAAUACUUUCCAUUGAGGAAACAGGUUGGAGGUGGGAGGCUGUAACCAUGCUUGAUUUUGUACCACCCUAACCUUUGCUUUUGUUGGUGGCAUAUAUAAUGAGUGCUGGGUGUUAAGGAAGCAAUGGUGAAGGAGAGACACCCUCCCGACCCUCAUGGUGCUUGCAGCCUAGUGGAGCUAUGAAAAGAUAGGCAAGUGAGUCCUAUGAUUGGAGAAGUAAUGAGAAGUAAUGAGAAGCGUCUUCUAAGCAUAGGGGUAAAGACUGCAAAGACCCUGAAGGGAGAAAGUAAUGGCCAUUCUGAGAACUGAAAGUUUGCACAGUGCACAGAGGGCAUGAAGAACGAAGGAAAGAGAUUUUUUUUUUUUUUUUUUUGCCCAAGAUGGCAAGUUGCUUAAAACCUAAAGCUCCUUUCAAUUCUUUACAAUCCAAGAUUAUAUGGAAUGGACUGGGAACAAAGAGAGGGACUGGCAUUUAAAGUCUUUUAUCAUGUGGUGUUAGCACGGAGAUGAGAAAGAGAGAAAGACAACAUCAUGCUUUGCUGUCUGUGUGUGAACUGAGUAACAGCUGUGAAGGAUCAGUCACCAAAAGACUUUGAAAGAAGAGGCUUGAUUGGUCACGGUAAUGAUGCUCCCCUGGCCAUGGAAGUUUAAUUGGGAGAAAAGAACAUCUGCUUAUACGAAAACAUAUUAUAUUCAGCCAUCCCUGCCCUGACUUUGGCCUUUAAAAACAGUGGCAUUAAUUAUCUCAACAAAUGAAUCUUCGGGAUAAAAAUAAUCUAAAUAUUAUUUUACGCUUACUACAUAUUUGCAACGUGCUAAGCUCUUUAUGGUUGCUACCACAAAAAACAUUUAUAAUAUGAGGUUGUUUCCGUAUUUUGGCUAUUGUGAAUAGUGCUGCAAUAAACAUGGAAGUGCUGAUAUAUCUUUGAGAUCUUGACUUCAAACAAAAGAAGAAAAUCUUGCAAUAUAUGACAACACGGAUUAACCUGGAGGACAUUGUGCUUAGUGAAGUUAGCCAGUCACAGACUGACAAGUACUGCACGAUUCCACUUAUAUGAUGCCACUGAAAGGUAAACAUACCAUUCUGACAUGCAUGAAAAUGAAACGACAAAUUGAUACACGCAGUGCUUGGAAUGGAUGGAGUCCUUCUAAUGAGUGAUUACCUGUGGUAUAACUAUAUUGAUUGUGUUUGUACAUGUCAAAUGGGGCUGGCGAGGAUGAACUUGAAGAAAUCAAUCUUGGAACCUGCUAGGACAGCAGCCUCCUGGUUUCACAGUACUAAAUCAUGACUUCAAAAUUUUGAAGUAAAAGAAAACUGCAAAACUUUGUAAA